GAUGAACGCUGGCGGCGUGCCUAAUACAUGCAAGUCGAGCGAACAGAUGAGGAGCUUGCUCCUCUGACGUUAGCGGCGGACGGGUGAGUAACACGUGGAUAACCUACCUAUAAGACUGGGAUAACUUCGGGAAACCGGAGCUAAUACCGGAUAAUAUAUUGAACCGCAUGGUUCAAUAGUGAAAGACGGUUUUGCUGUCACUUAUAGAUGGAUCCGCGCCGCAUUAGCUAGUUGUUAAGGUAACGGCUUACCAAGGCAACGAUGCGUAGCCGACCUGAGAGGGUGAUCGGCCACACUGGAACUGAGACACGGUCCAGACUCCUACGGGAGGCAGCAGUAGGGAAUCUUCCGCAAUGGGCGAAAGCCUGACGGAGCAACGCCGCGUGAGUGAUGAAGGUCUUCGGAUCGUAAAACUCUGUUAUUAGGGAAGAACAAAUGUGUAAGUAACUAUGCACGUCUUGACGGUACCUAAUCAGAAAGCCACGGCUAACUACGUG
Molecule: ribosomal RNA, 497 nt
Filed under: uncultured bacterium
Lineage: Bacteria
Description: partial 16S ribosomal RNA
Rfam family: Bacterial small subunit ribosomal RNA
Source: RNAcentral